Molecule: ribosomal RNA, 424 nt
Filed under: uncultured prokaryote
Description: bacterial SSU rRNA
Rfam family: Bacterial small subunit ribosomal RNA
Source: RNAcentral
UAGGGAAUCUUCGGCAAUGGGCGCAAGCCUGACCGAGCGACGCCGCGCGCGAGAUGAAGGCCUUCGGGUUGUAAAUCGCUGUCAGUGGGGAGGAAAUGCCGGUGGGUUCUCCCAUCGGUUUGACCUAUCCGCAGAGGAAGGACGGGCUAAGUUCGUGCCAGCAGCCGCGGUAGGACGAACCGUCCAACCGUUAUUCGGAAUCACUGGGCUUAAAGGGUGCGUAGGCGGCCCGGAAAGUUGGGUGUGAAAGCCCUCGGCUCAACCGAGGAACAGCGCCCAAAACUGCCGGGCUUGAGGAAGACAGAGGUGAGCGGAACUUAGGGUGGAGCGGUGAAAUGCGUUGAUAUCCGAAGGAACACCAGUAGCGAAAGCGGCUCACUGGGUCUUUUCUGACGCUGAUGCACGAAAGCUAGGGGAGCAAAGA